CUAGGACGAACGCUGGCGGCGUGCUUAACACAUGCAAGUCGAACGAUGACGAUGGUGCUUGCACCGUCUGAUUAGUGGCGAACGGGUGAGUAACACGUGAGUAACCUGCCCUCCUCUUCGGGAUAACCGCCGGAAACGGUGGCUAAUACCGGAUAUGAAUGUCUGCCGCAUGGUGGGUGUUGGAAAGAUUUAUCGGUGGGGGAUGGACUCGCGGCCUAUCAGUUUGUUGGUGAGGUAAUGGCUCACCAAGGCGAUGACGGGUAGCCGGCCUGAGAGGGCGACCGGCCACACUGGGACUGAGACACGGCCCAGACUCCUACGGGAGGCAGCAGUGGGGAAUAUUGCACAAUGGGCGAAAGCCUGAUUGCAGCGACGCCGCGUGGGGGAUGACGGCCUUCGGGUUGUAAACCUCUUUCAGCAGGGAAGAAGCGAGAGUGACGGUACCUGCGGAAGAAGCGCCGGCUAACUACGUGCCAGCCGCAGC
Molecule: ribosomal RNA, 484 nt
Filed under: uncultured bacterium
Lineage: Bacteria
Description: bacterial SSU rRNA
Rfam family: Bacterial small subunit ribosomal RNA
Source: RNAcentral